AGAGUGUUACGAUGAUGGGAAACCUAGUCUAGCUCUGUCUGGUCCCUAGACCCUGUCUGGGGAC
Regulatory RNA element from Aerococcus urinaehominis, 64 nucleotides. It matches the Rfam family "L17 ribosomal protein downstream element". The record is from Rfam. Lineage: Bacteria; Bacillati; Bacillota; Bacilli; Lactobacillales; Aerococcaceae.